GAUUGGAGUCUGCAACUCGACUCCAUGAAGUCGGAAUCGCUAGUAAUCGUAGAUCAGAAUGCUACGGUGAAUACGUUCCCGGGCCUUGUACACACCGCCCGUCACACCAUGGGAGUGGGUUGCAAAAGAAGUAGGUAGCUUAACCUUCGGGAGGGCGCUUACCACUUUGUGAUUCAUGACUGGGGUGAAGUCGUAACAAGGUAACCGUAGGGGAACCUGCGGUUGGAUCACCUCCUUA
This 238-nucleotide ribosomal RNA is filed under the name Pseudomonas aeruginosa. RNAcentral describes it as "partial 16S ribosomal RNA". It matches the Rfam family "Bacterial small subunit ribosomal RNA", at positions 1296 to 1533 of the family's 1533-position model. Lineage: Bacteria; Pseudomonadati; Pseudomonadota; Gammaproteobacteria; Pseudomonadales; Pseudomonadaceae. The record is from RNAcentral. RNAcentral also lists the same sequence under 2 other names.